CUGGCCGUAGCUCAGCUGGAUAGAGCAUCGGAUUUCUAAUCCGAUGGUCGCGUGUUCGAAUCGCGCCGGCCAGGCCA
This 77-nucleotide transfer RNA is filed under the name Spirobacillus cienkowskii. RNAcentral's name for it is "tRNA-Arg". It matches the Rfam family "tRNA". Rfam says of the family: Transfer RNA (tRNA) molecules are approximately 80 nucleotides in length. Their secondary structure includes four short double-helical elements and three loops (D, anti-codon, and T loops). Further hydrogen bonds mediate the characteristic L-shaped molecular structure. tRNAs have two regions of fundamental functional importance: the anti-codon, which is responsible for specific mRNA codon recognition, and the 3' end, to which the tRNAs corresponding amino acid is attached (by aminoacyl-tRNA synthetases). tRNAs cope with the degeneracy of the genetic code in two manners: having more than one tRNA (with a specific anti-codon) for a particular amino acid; and 'wobble' base-pairing, i.e. permitting non-standard base-pairing at the 3rd anti-codon position. RNAcentral also lists the same sequence under 8 other names. The record is from RNAcentral. Lineage: Bacteria; Pseudomonadati; Bdellovibrionota; Oligoflexia; Silvanigrellales.